Small nuclear RNA from Hippoglossus stenolepis (Pacific halibut), 162 nucleotides. RefSeq annotates it as U1 spliceosomal RNA. The record is from RefSeq and is a predicted model, not a curated record. The transcript has a single exon. Lineage: Eukaryota; Metazoa; Chordata; Actinopteri; Pleuronectiformes; Pleuronectidae.
AUACUUACCUGGCAGGGGAGAUGGGGUACUCAUGAUCAUGAAGGGAAGCCACCCAGGCGCAGGCUCAGCCAUUGCACUUCGGCGCUGACCCGUGAAUUCCCAAAUGUGAACUGACCGCAUAAUUUGUAUGAAGUGUAGUAAUCGCGCCCGCGCUCUCCCCUG